RNAcentral lists this ribosomal RNA (492 nucleotides) under uncultured bacterium. Its description in RNAcentral is "partial 16S ribosomal RNA". It matches the Rfam family "Bacterial small subunit ribosomal RNA", at positions 29 to 507 of the family's 1533-position model. The record is from RNAcentral.
AGUGAACGCUGGCGGUAGGCCUAACACAUGCAAGUCGAACGGCAGCACAGUAAGAGCUUGCUCUUACGGGUGGCGAGUGGCGGACGGGUGAGGAAUACAUCGGAAUCUACUUUUUCGUGGGGGAUAACGUAGGGAAACUUACGCUAAUACCGCAUACGACCUACGGGUGAAAGCAGGGGAUCUUCGGACCUUGCGCGAUUGAAUGAGCCGAUGUCGGAUUAGCUAGUUGGCGGGGUAAAGGCCCACCAAGGCGACGAUCCGUAGCUGGUCUGAGAGGAUGAUCAGCCACACUGGAAGUGAGAAACGGUCCAGACUCCUACGGGAGGCAGCAGUGGGGAAUAUUGGAGAAUGGGCGCAAGCAUGAUCCAGCAAUACCGCGGGGGUGAAGAAGGCCUUCGGGUUGUAGAGCCCUUUUGUUGGGAAAGAAAAGCAGCAGGUUAAUACCCCGCUGUUCUGACGGUACCCAAAGAAUAAGCACCGGCUAACUUCGUG